RNAcentral lists this long non-coding RNA (787 nucleotides) under Homo sapiens (human). Its description in RNAcentral is "HSALNT0159590". The record is from RNAcentral. Lineage: Eukaryota; Metazoa; Chordata; Mammalia; Primates; Hominidae.
AGACUGCAGUGCUGUAGCUCCCCAAAACUUUCAGGAAAUAAGAUCACUCUGUGUGAUUCAAAUUGACAAAAUAGUAGAGAAGGAACCAAAGUAGGAGAUGGGUACCUUAAAGCUGAGGUUAAACUCUGCUGGCUUAGCCAGAUCAGUCUGACAUGUUUUAUUUGGCCUGCAGAGAGUUAAAAAAUGUUUUUUGAAUAGAUGAUAUUUUAUGUCUACGUGAUUUCCCACCAAAAAUACAGACUUUUGGCUCCUUGAAAAAUCCCAGAUCUAGGCGUGGGCCACUACGCCCGGCCUGAGAGAUUUUAUACAGAAACUAUUGCAAUAGGGAAAAGAGACUUGCGUCCAGAACUGGGCUCAGUGGAAUACAGUAAAGACAGAUGGGGACUUACAGCCAAGGGUGGAGGGGAGUAGUUCAUGGUUGGAAAAUCACUAAGAGGAGACCUCGGGGAUAGAGAGGAUUCUUGCUAAGAGCAGGCCAGGGUGAUCAGAUAGCCAGGGUGGAGGACGAGGGAUUUGAUGAGAUCUCAAGGCAGGAGGGCUUCUCUCUAAACUGACCUAGCAGGAUUCUUGCUAAAACUGGGCUGUGCAGGCCUGGCAAGGACGGUGGCCAAGAUCGAAGCCUGAGAAGAGGUUUAGGAGGUCAAGGAGAUCAUCUUGUCACCACUCUUUUGCCUGACCCAGGGGAUAUUUGAAGCAUUGCCUCCUGCUUUAAAGAGAGGGUGGAUCUAAGACCUCACUGUUCAUUUGGACUGUUGAGCACUUGGAAUGGGCUGGUGCAAUUGAGGGA